UUUUUUAUGGAGAGUUUGAUCCUGGCUCAGGACGAACGCUGGCGGCGUGCUUAACACAUGCAAGUCGAACGGAAAGGCCUAGCUUGCUAGGUACUCGAGUGGCGAACGGGUGAGUAACACGUGGGUGAUCUGCCUCGUACUUCGGGAUAAGCCUGGGAAACUGGGUCUAAUACUGGAUAGGACCAUGCUUUAGUGUGUGUGGUGGAAAGUUUUUUCGGUACGAGAUGAGCCCGCGGCCUAUCAGCUUGUUGGUGGGGUAAUGGCCUACCAAGGCGUCGACGGGUAGCCGGCCUGAGAGGGUGGACGGCCACAUUGGGACUGAGAUACGGCCCAGACUCCUACGGGAGGCAGCAGUGGGGAAUAUUGCACAAUGGGCGCAAGCCUGAUGCAGCGACGCCGCGUGGGGGAUGACGGCCUUCGGGUUGUAAACCUCUUUCGCUAGGGACGAAGCUUUUGUGACGGUACCUAGAUAAGAAGCACCGGCUAACUACGUGCCAGCAGCCGCGGUAAUACGUAGGGUGCGAGCGUUGUCCGGAAUUACUGGGCGUAAAGAGCUCGUAGGUGGUUUGUCGCGUCGUCUGUGAAAUUCCGGGGCUUAACUUCGGGCGUGCAGGCGAUACGGGCAUAACUUGAGUGCUGUAGGGGAGACUGGAAUUCCUGGUGUAGCGGUGGAAUGCGCAGAUAUCAGGAGGAACACCGAUGGCGAAGGCAGGUCUCUGGGCAGUAACUGACGCUGAGGAGCGAAAGCAUGGGGAGCGAACAGGAUUAGAUACCCUGGUAGUCCAUGCCGUAAACGGUGGGCGCUAGGUGUGAGGGUCUUCCACGACUUUCGUGCCGUAGCUAACGCAUUAAGCGCCC
RNAcentral lists this ribosomal RNA (858 nucleotides) under Corynebacterium diphtheriae. RNAcentral's name for it is "bacterial SSU rRNA". It matches the Rfam family "Bacterial small subunit ribosomal RNA", at positions 1 to 869 of the family's 1533-position model. Lineage: Bacteria; Bacillati; Actinomycetota; Actinomycetes; Mycobacteriales; Corynebacteriaceae. The record is from RNAcentral.